GUUCCGAGUACUUCUUGAAACCGCUAUGUCUGUAUUGCUGUUGAAGGAGGACAUUUGAAGCAUGAAAAGUGCUCAGAGUUUUUUCGAGCAUAUCCUCCUCAGAUAUAUUUUCCCCACAUAGCCUCAUUAAUGAGGUAAUUCUGUGCAUAGCAGAGUUAUACUCGGACACUGACUUGAAAUCUUGAAAUCUCAAGUGAGUCCAUUCGUAUCUAGCUCUUGGGAGAGUCACCAUCCUCUGGUGAUCGUAUCUUUCACCUAGAGCUUUCCAUAGAACCAACGGUUCAUCAACCACCACAUAUUCGCUCUUCAGCGCUUCAUGGAUGUGGCGGCGAAGAAAGAUCAUGGCCUUCGCAUUCUCUUCAGGCGAAGCAUCAUUCUCAUCUACAAUUGUUUGUCCGAGGCCAUUGGCUCGUAGAUGAAUUUUGGCAUCCAGGACCCAUGAUAAAUAGUUGUCCCCGGAAAGGUCCAAGGCAGCAAACUCUAGUUUUGCCAAAUUUGCCAUCCGAAACUUUAGGCUCGGGAUCUGGGACAUUAAGCCACUUAUUAAUAGGAAUUUCAGGCCCUCAUUAUUCAGGUAUAUUAAUUGAUGAUAAAAAUAAAGUGCUAUGAAUUUGCUGGUAU
This 621-nucleotide long non-coding RNA is filed under the name Prunus dulcis (almond). RNAcentral describes it as "sRNA ncRNA". Lineage: Eukaryota; Viridiplantae; Streptophyta; Magnoliopsida; Rosales; Rosaceae. The record is from RNAcentral.